RNAcentral lists this ribosomal RNA (515 nucleotides) under uncultured bacterium. RNAcentral's name for it is "bacterial SSU rRNA". It matches the Rfam family "Bacterial small subunit ribosomal RNA", at positions 15 to 518 of the family's 1533-position model. The record is from RNAcentral.
GAUUAUGGCUCAAGAACGAACGCUGGCGGCGCGUCUUAAGCAUGCAAGUCGAACGGCAAGAGGUAGCAAUACCUCCUAGAGUGGCGGACUGGUGAGUAACACGUGGGUGACAUACCCUUCAGAUGGGGAUAGCUAUUAGAAAUAGUAGAUAAUACCGAAUACGAGCACAGGGGUUAGAGAUCUGUGAGGAGAGGAGCUAAGGCUCCGCUGAAGGAAUGGCCUGCGGCCCAUUAGCUAGUUGGUGAGGUAAGAGCCCACCAAGGCGAUGAUGGGUAUCCGGCCUUAGAGGGUGAACGGACACAUUGGGACUGAGAUACGGCCCAGACUCCUACGGGAGGCAGCAGCUAAGAAUAUUCCGCAAUGGACGAAAGUCUGACGGAGCGACGCCGCGUGGAUGAAGAAGGCCGGAAGGUUGUAAAAUCCUUUUGAAACUGAAGAAUAAGCGUUGUAGGGAAUGACAGCGUGGUGACAGUAGGUUUUGAAUAAGCAACGGCUAAUUACGUGCCAGCAGCCGC